UAGUGGGGCCCCCUGUGCCACAAUGAGUAAAAUUGUUUUAGACAAAGAAAUAUGAUAAAGACAUAUUGCUAGUCAAUCCUACCUUCUUUAUCCUGAAUCUUUGUCUUUACAUUCUCAAUAGUAUCACUUGGUUCAACCUCAAGUGUGAUAGUCUUGCCAGUCAGGGUCUUUACAAAGAUCUGCAUGGUGAGCUGAAAAAUAACCAAUAGCAACGUUUUAGGAACGUUACCUAUCUGUGACUCAAACAAUAGGGAAAUUGCUAUUGGCAGGGCAAAAUACAAUACACAUGUGAUGAUGAAGGACAAGAUUUAUGAAUAUAUGUUGACUAACAUAGAUAAUGAGUUUUAGUAUUUUUGCACAAGUGAAUAUAACAAAUCCUACAAGUUGAUUGGUCAAAUUUGACUUAUUAAGCUGUUAUAUUCACCUACAUAACAAAACCGAAAUUUUCAAAAAUUAUGGCGGCUAGCUGUUCUGUG
Molecule: non-coding RNA, 476 nt
Organism: Paramuricea clavata
Lineage: Eukaryota; Metazoa; Cnidaria; Anthozoa; Malacalcyonacea; Plexauridae
Source: the annotation of a GenBank genome assembly